This 290-nucleotide unclassified non-coding RNA is filed under the name rhizosphere metagenome. RNAcentral's name for it is "partial ribosomal RNA internal transcribed spacer region". The record is from RNAcentral.
GUAGGUGAACCUGCGGAAGGAUCAUUAUUGAAAUAAGCUUGGUUGGGUUGUUGCUGGCUCUGAGGGGCAUGUGCACGCCUAACACCAACUUUCUUACCACCUGUGCACUUUUUGUAGACUUUGGAAAAUACCUCUUGGUUUGAGGACUGUCGUGCGCAAGCCGGCUUUCCUUGUACUUUCCAGUCUAUGUUUUUAUAAUAUACACCUAUAGUAUGUUUCAGAAUGUCAUUUAAUGGGCUUAACUGCCUUUAAUUACCAUACAACUUUCAACAACGGAUCUCUUGGCUCUC